ACAAUCAAACUGUUCCAGUUGUAAUUAACAGUUCAUAUAUCUUCUUAACAUAACCAAACUGAUUUUUCAGAAAAUAAGAAUAGAAUGAAUCAAGCCCAUAAAGAAAAGAUUUAUUUUUAAUUGAACAGAUUCAAUUUUAGACAGAUUAACAGAUCAGCAAGAAACCGAGUGCAAGGAUGAAGAGAAAUGAACACACAACAGUUAUACUGGUUCACUCAAAUGAGCUACAUCCAGUCUCACCUAAUCCAACGUGAAAUCCA
Molecule: long non-coding RNA, 260 nt
Filed under: Phaseolus vulgaris (common bean)
Lineage: Eukaryota; Viridiplantae; Streptophyta; Magnoliopsida; Fabales; Fabaceae
Description: long non-coding RNA (PVUL_LNC005105)
Source: RNAcentral